RNAcentral lists this ribosomal RNA (2916 nucleotides) under Vibrio parahaemolyticus. RNAcentral's name for it is "bacterial LSU rRNA". It matches the Rfam family "Bacterial large subunit ribosomal RNA". The record is from RNAcentral. Lineage: Bacteria; Pseudomonadati; Pseudomonadota; Gammaproteobacteria; Vibrionales; Vibrionaceae.
GUUGUAUGGUUAAGUGACUAAGCGUACACGGUGGAUGCCUUGGCAGUCAGAGGCGAUGAAAGACGUAGUAACUUGCGAUAAGCCCAGAUUAGGUAGUAACAACCAUUUGAGUCUGGGAUUUCUGAAUGGGGAAACCCACGUGCAUAAGCACGUAUCCUUACCUGAAUACAUAGGGUAAGGAGGCGAACCGGGGGAACUGAAACAUCUAAGUACCCCGAGGAAAAGAAAUCAACCGAGAUUCCGAAAGUAGCGGCGAGCGAAAUUGGACUAGCCCUUAAGCUUUACACGCGUUAGACGAACGGUCUGGAAAGUCCGACGAUACAGGGUGAUAGUCCCGUAGUUGACGACGUGUGUUCAGUGAAAUCGAGUAGGGCGGGACACGUGAUAUCCUGUCUGAAUAUGGGGGGACCAUCCUCCAAGGCUAAAUACUACUGACUGACCGAUAGUGAACCAGUACCGUGAGGGAAAGGCGAAAAGAACCCCUGUGAGGGGAGUGAAAUAGAACCUGAAACCGUGUACGUACAAGCAGUAGGAGCAGGCUUUGUCCUGUGACUGCGUACCUUUUGUAUAAUGGGUCAGCGACUUAUAUUCAGUGGCAAGGUUAACCAUCUAGGGGAGCCGUAGGGAAACCGAGUCUUAACUGGGCGUUCAGUCUCUGGAUAUAGACCCGAAACCAGGUGAUCUAGCCAUGGGCAGGUUGAAGGUUGAGUAACAUCAACUGGAGGACCGAACCGACUAAUGUUGAAAAAUUAGCGGAUGACUUGUGGCUAGGGGUGAAAGGCCAAUCAAACCUGGAGAUAGCUGGUUCUCCCCGAAAGCUAUUUAGGUAGCGCCUCGGACGAAUACUACUGGGGGUAGAGCACUGUUAAGGCUAGGGGGUCAUCCCGACUUACCAACCCUUUGCAAACUCCGAAUACCAGUAAGUACUAUCCGGGAGACACACGGCGGGUGCUAACGUCCGUCGUGGAGAGGGAAACAACCCAGACCGCCAGCUAAGGUCCCAAAUUACUACUAAGUGGGAAACGAUGUGGGAAGGCUCAGACAGCCAGGAUGUUGGCUUAGAAGCAGCCAUCAUUUAAAGAAAGCGUAAUAGCUCACUGGUCGAGUCGGCCUGCGCGGAAGAUGUAACGGGGCUAAGUAGUAAACCGAAGCUGCGGCAAUAUACUUUUGUAUAUUGGGUAGGGGAGCGUUCUGUAAGCGGUUGAAGGUGUGUGGUAACGCAUGCUGGACGUAUCAGAAGUGCGAAUGCUGACAUGAGUAACGAUAAAGGGGGUGAAAAACCUCCUCGCCGGAAGACCAAGGGUUCCUGUCCAACGUUAAUCGGGGCAGGGUAAGUCGACCCCUAAGGCGAGGCCGAAAGGCGUAGUCGAUGGGAAACGGGUUAAUAUUCCCGUACUUCUUACAAUUGCGAUGGGGGGACGGAGAAGGCUAGGUGGGCCUGGCGACGGUUGUCCAGGUUCAAGUGCGUAGGCUUGAGAGUUAGGUAAAUCCGGCUCUUUUUAAGGCUGAGACACGACGUCGAGCACCUACGGGUGUGAAGUCAUUGAUGCCAUGCUUCCAGGAAAAGCCUCUAAGCUUCAGAUUGUAAGGAAUCGUACCCCAAACCGACACAGGUGGUCGGGUAGAGAAUACCAAGGCGCUUGAGAGAACUCGGGUGAAGGAACUAGGCAAAAUGGUACCGUAACUUCGGGAGAAGGUACGCUCUCGACGGUGAAGUCCCUUGCGGAUGGAGCUAUUGAGAGUCGCAGAUACCAGGUGGCUGCAACUGUUUAUUAAAAACACAGCACUGUGCAAAAUCGUAAGAUGACGUAUACGGUGUGACGCCUGCCCGGUGCCGGAAGGUUAAUUGAUGGGGUUAGACUUCGGUCGAAGCUCUUGAUCGAAGCCCCGGUAAACGGCGGCCGUAACUAUAACGGUCCUAAGGUAGCGAAAUUCCUUGUCGGGUAAGUUCCGACCUGCACGAAUGGCGUAAUGAUGGCCACGCUGUCUCCACCCGAGACUCAGUGAAAUUGAAAUCGCUGUGAAGAUGCAGUGUACCCGCGGCUAGACGGAAAGACCCCGUGAACCUUUACUACAGCUUGGCACUGAACAUUGACCCUACAUGUGUAGGAUAGGUGGGAGGCUUUGAAGCACGUACGCCAGUAUGUGUGGAGCCGUCCUUGAAAUACCACCCUUGUAGUGUUGAUGUUCUAACGUCGACCCCUAAUCGGGGUUGCGGACAGUGCCUGGUGGGUAGUUUGACUGGGGCGGUCUCCUCCCAAAGAGUAACGGAGGAGCACGAAGGUGGGCUAAUCACGGUUGGACAUCGUGAGGUUAGUGCAAUGGCAUAAGCCCGCUUGACUGCGAGAAUGACAAUUCGAGCAGGUGCGAAAGCAGGUCAUAGUGAUCCGGUGGUUCUGAAUGGAAGGGCCAUCGCUCAACGGAUAAAAGGUACUCCGGGGAUAACAGGCUGAUACCGCCCAAGAGUUCAUAUCGACGGCGGUGUUUGGCACCUCGAUGUCGGCUCAUCACAUCCUGGGGCUGAAGUCGGUCCCAAGGGUAUGGCUGUUCGCCAUUUAAAGUGGUACGCGAGCUGGGUUUAGAACGUCGUGAGACAGUUCGGUCCCUAUCUGCCGUGGGCGUUGGAAGAUUGAAGGGGGCUGCUCCUAGUACGAGAGGACCGGAGUGGACGAACCUCUGGUGUUCGGGUUGUGUCGCCAGACGCAUUGCCCGGUAGCUAAGUUCGGAAUCGAUAACCGCUGAAAGCAUCUAAGCGGGAAGCGAGCCCUGAGAUGAGUCUUCCCUGAUACUUUAAGUAUCCUAAAGGGUUGUCGGAGACUACGACGUUGAUAGGUCAGGUGUGUAAGUGCUGUGAGGCAUUGAGCUAACUGAUACUAAUUGCCCGUGAGGCUUAACCAUACAACACCCAAGGGGUUU